GCUGGGUGUGGUGGCUCAUGCCUGUAAUCCCAGCUACUCAGGAGGCUGAGGCAGGAGAAUUGCUUGAACCCAGGAGGCGGAGGUUGCAGUGAGCCGAGAUCGUGCCACUGCACUCCAGCCUGGGUGACAGAGCGAGACUCUGUCUCAA
This is an unclassified non-coding RNA of Macaca fascicularis (crab-eating macaque), 148 nucleotides long. It matches the Rfam family "Metazoan signal recognition particle RNA". Rfam says of the family: The signal recognition particle (SRP) is a universally conserved ribonucleoprotein. It is involved in the co-translational targeting of proteins to membranes. NCBI's taxonomy places the organism in Eukaryota, Metazoa, Chordata, Mammalia, Primates, Cercopithecidae. The record is from Ensembl.